Molecule: ribosomal RNA, 253 nt
Filed under: uncultured bacterium
Lineage: Bacteria
Description: partial 16S ribosomal RNA
Rfam family: Bacterial small subunit ribosomal RNA
Source: RNAcentral
CACGGGGGGAGCAAGCGUUGUUCGGAAUCACUGGGCGUAAAGGGUGUCUAGGCGGUCAGGUAAGUGAGAUGUGAAAUGCCCCGGCUUACCCGGGGACCUGCAUCUCAUACUGCCUGGCUUGAGUAUGGGAGAGGAUGAGGGAAUUCCUGGUGUAGCGGUGAAAUGCGUAGAUAUCAGGAGGAACACCGGUGGCGAAAGCGCUCAUCUGGCCCAAUACUGACGCUGAAGCACGAAAGCUAGGGGAGCAAACGGG